RNAcentral lists this ribosomal RNA (428 nucleotides) under uncultured bacterium. RNAcentral's name for it is "partial 16S ribosomal RNA". It matches the Rfam family "Bacterial small subunit ribosomal RNA", at positions 354 to 796 of the family's 1533-position model. The record is from RNAcentral.
GUCGAGAAUCUUCCGCAAUGCGCGAAAGCGUGACGGAGCGACACCGCGUGAUGGAUGAAGUCCUUCGGGGCGUAAACAUCUUUUAUAAAGGAGGAAAUUUUUGACGUUACUUUAUGAAUAAGGGGCUCCCAAUCUCGUGCCAGCAGGAGCGGUAAUACGAGAGCCUCAAGCGUUAUCCGGAAUCAUUGGGCGUAAAGGGUGCGUAGGUGGUUUGAUUAGUCUCCCGUUAAAACUUCGAGCUUAACUCGAAAAGAGCGGGGGAAACGGUCAAACUAGAGUAUGUGAGAGGUGUGUGGAACUCAUGGUGUAGGGGUGAAAGCCGUUGAUAUCAUGGGGAACACCAAAAGCGAAGGCAGCACACUGGCACAUCACUGACACUGAGGCACGAAACCUAAGGUAGCGAAUGGGAUUAGAUACCCGGGUAGUCC